Long non-coding RNA from Microtus ochrogaster (prairie vole), 602 nucleotides. RefSeq lists it as uncharacterized. The record is from RefSeq and is a predicted model, not a curated record. NCBI's taxonomy places the organism in Eukaryota, Metazoa, Chordata, Mammalia, Rodentia, Cricetidae.
CCAUUCCUGCCGUGAUUGGCGGGAGCGAGAGGGCGAGGCCGGCGGGGAGCUUUGUUUCUGCGCUGGUUUCUCUGGAGAAAUUUGAAAAAGGCCAAGAUAAGGUGACUAAAAACUCAUUUCCGAUGUAUGGCAUUGUCUCUGGACGUCAUUCUCCAAAGUGCCUUCCAGGUCCCAAAUGACUUAUAUAAAGCUGCUAUACUUCCUAAACUGCGAAAUCAGCAAAACAAGAUCUUAGUGAAGAAAGAGGAGGAUCUGAUAGUGCAUUUUAAAAAAAUGAGAUGUCAAAAAUAGAGUUAUAAUAUUCUAAAACUUAGUUGGACCUGAUGGUGAACAUGUGAAUAUGUGUUUGUGUGUGUGUAUUAAAGUGGCACUUUGAAGUUCUUUACAAAGUAUUUAAAUUAUAGUACCACCAUAAAAAUUAAUAAUUAAUGCAAUGUUUUUCUCCCUGGAGUGCUGAAGAGAACAACCCUUUUUCAUAGAUAGAAAAAAAGUGUUUAAAGAUGACACAGAAAAAUAAUCCCGUUCACAAUAUGUUGUGGAAUAUUUCUUUACACUGUGUGAAGAUGUGUUACUGUGAUUGGUUUAAUAAAGAGCUGAAUGGU